Long non-coding RNA from Maniola jurtina (meadow brown), 76 nucleotides. RefSeq lists it as uncharacterized. The transcript has 3 exons. NCBI's taxonomy places the organism in Eukaryota, Metazoa, Arthropoda, Insecta, Lepidoptera, Nymphalidae. The record is from RefSeq and is a predicted model, not a curated record.
UAUUUUUUACUCGACUGAGGCGAAACUCAAAAGGAGGAUUAUGUGUUUGACUUGUGUGUAUGUAUGUAUGCCAGUU